AGACCGAUAGCGAACAAGUAGAGUGAUCGAAAGGUUAAAAGCACCUUGAAAAGGGAGUUAAACAGCACGUGAAAUUGUUGAAAGGGAAGCGCUUGCGGCCAGACUCGAGGGGCGGGGUUCAGCGGGUGCGCGUCACCCGUGCACUCCCCGUCCCCUCGGGCCAGCAUCAGUUUCGACGGCCGGUCAAAGGCCCCCGGAAUGUGUCGUCUCUAGGGACGUCUUAUAGCCGGGGGUGCAAUGCGGCCCGCCGGGACUGAGGAACGCGCUCCGGCUCGGAUGCUGGCGUAAUGGCCGUAAGCGGCCCGUCUUGAAACACGGAC
Molecule: ribosomal RNA, 320 nt
Filed under: Microsporum audouinii
Lineage: Eukaryota; Fungi; Ascomycota; Eurotiomycetes; Onygenales; Arthrodermataceae
Description: partial 28S ribosomal RNA
Rfam family: Eukaryotic large subunit ribosomal RNA
Source: RNAcentral